RNAcentral lists this long non-coding RNA (2199 nucleotides) under Xyrichtys novacula (pearly razorfish). The record is from RNAcentral. Lineage: Eukaryota; Metazoa; Chordata; Actinopteri; Labriformes; Labridae.
GCAGGUUUCAUGAGUGAAAAAUCAAGUGAAAGCAUUCAUGGUCCUGAAGAUGAUCGGGUCCAAAGGUUAUCUCCUGAGCUGUUUUGUUUUCUCAUCCAUCUCUGACUUCAUGAAUCUUCAUUCUUCUCCUCAUUAAUCAGCAGGUUUCACUCUGACAGCUGUUCCUCUCUGCAGCUGUCGGAAAUCUGUUUUUCAUUUUCUGCAUAUCGAUCGUGCUCUCUCUCCCUCUGUUCUGCUGUCGCUCGCCCCGUGUUUCAACAGUUUGCCAUCGUCCCCCGGGAGACGGUGUAACACGCACAGCUGAUGUGACGGACAGAUGUCUCCUCCGGCAGCUGGGGCACCGCGUGAGAGCGAGAUGUAAAUGUGGGUAAGUGGAGCGCCUGUUAAUGACAGAGCGUGUUCUUCAAACACAGAUGUACGCAGGAGGAAAACAAGCCCACCUGCUCUACAGUCACUUCACCACCACACAGACAUGAACCAUCAUAAAAAGACGCCUCAUUAAAACUCCUGCAGACCUGAGGGCUCUCACAGGAUCAGGACUAGAGCAGAGCUGUAGGAGGACCAUGAGGAACAAAAACUCAGACUAUCUCAGACUGGGUUUAUGGCUGUUAGCAUCUCCACUCUCUACCGCUCAGAGCUGCCCUGUGCACCCUAAUCCUGACAGAGUCUCAGAGUAUGUGAGGAGCUGGAUGGAGAGGUUAUUAUUAUUAUUUUUAUCAUAUUAUGACAGAUGUGACGUAGGGGCUAGGUCUAUACUUUAUCCUACUGAGAUGCUUGACCCAGAGUAACCUGGGUCAAAAAUUUAUCGGGAUGAACUUUACCAAAGUCCAUUUGCAAUUCCCAUCAAACAACACCGAGUAAACAAAGAAAAUGCUGCCAUUAAGCACCACAGUGAUCAAAAACAUUUUUGCCCUCCCGGGUCAAUCACUUUCCAACAACAGUCAGUACGUUUACAUACACAGUAUAAUCGGACUAAGCUAAUAAUUCGUUUUUUUUUUUUUUCGCUGAAUCGGACUUCUCUUCUUGUACAUGCAGCAGAGAAAAUUGAAUUAUUGACGUGAACGUGCCCUGCUCCCCAAAACUAGGGGGCGAUAUGGGUCUUCACAGAAGCGCUGUUUCCGGAACUUUUUAAAAUAUGUCUCCGUUCCUCGUUUUGCAACCGUCCAAAUACUUUAAAAUGUCAAUUUCUGUCACGACGGAAAGCAUAAUGGCGCUCUCCUCGUCGUUCCAAAAGUGGACGUUCUUUUGUGCUUUAGCUGUGUUGCUUCUGAGUUUAAAGUUCUUUAAAUGAUAGCGCCGCUUCUUCUCUGGUGUUUCUGUUCCGGGGUUACGAAGGUGUGGCGCACACACACAUACAUUGUCUGAUCAUUCUCUGACUACGCUGCUUACAUGGUAGAGAAAAUCGAAUUCCAAUCACAUUAUCUGGGUGUCUCAAUUCGAGUUCUCAAACUCUGAUUAUAGUCGGACUAAGGUGUUUACAUGCACUUCAGUUGUCCGGUCUUAAUCAAAGUAAGGCGAUAAUACGGUUUUCUCAAGUGUCAUGGAAACGUACUGAUUGACAUAGCUACCUUUAUUCCUCAGCCCCAGAUAACAGGACAGCGACACUUACAGCACACAAAGUGAACUGCAGCUUAUUCUAGGUUAUAACUUCAAUAUCUUUGGCUCCGACAUGUGACAAAUUUUACAGACAGCCUAGUUUUACUCCUCAUUAUAGAAGUUGUCGUUUUCUUCCGCUUCAUCCAGGCAGCAGCUUCAGGAGGGAAGCCCAGACGGCCCUCACCCCAGCCACUUCUACCAGCUCCUCCAGGGGGGAUUCCCAGGCGCUCCCAGGCCAGGCGAGAGAUAUAAUCCCUCCACCUGGUCCUGGGCUGGCCACGAGGUCUCCUCCCGGUGGGACAUGUCCAGAACACCUCUAACGGGAGGCGUCCAGAAGACAUCCUAACCAGAGCCACCUCAGCUGACUCCUCUCAACGUGGAGGAGCAGCAGUUCUACUCUGAGCGCCUCCCGAGUGUCUGAGCUCCUUGCCCUAUCUCUAAGGCUGAGCCCGUCCAACCUGGGGAGGAAUCCCAUUUCGGCCGCUUGUAUCUGCUUUCUUGUUCUUUCGGUCAUUACCCAAAGUUCAUGAACAUAGGUGAGGAUCGGCACAUAGAUCGACCGGUAAAUCGAGAAUCUCACCUUACGGCUCAGCUCUUUCUUCA